This 1752-nucleotide ribosomal RNA is filed under the name bioreactor sludge metagenome. RNAcentral describes it as "bacterial LSU rRNA". It matches the Rfam family "Bacterial large subunit ribosomal RNA", at positions 1122 to 2925 of the family's 2925-position model. The record is from RNAcentral.
UUUAAAAAGUGCGUAAUAGCUUACUGGCCGAAUGUGAUCUUGCGCGGAAAAUGUAUGGGGGCUCAAGCACACCUCCGAAGCUUCGGGAUCCAGGAAACUGGAUCGGUAGGAGAGCGUCGCGUCCAGCAGUGAAGCUAGAGCGUAAGCACUGGUGGAGCGGGCGCGAGCGAGAAUGCAGGCAUGAGUAGCGAUCACACAGGUGAGAAUCCUGUGCGCCGAAAACCCAAGGUUUCUCAGGCUAUGUUCGUCAGCCUGAGGUUAGGCGGUCCCUAAGGCGAGGCCGGAAGGCGUAGUCGAUGGACUUCGGGUAGAUAUUCCCGACCUAGAUGGAAUGGCUAUGGAGGACGCUUCUAGAUGUCCAAUCCCGGACUGUUGGUAGUUCCGGGCUAGGGGAAGGCUGGGCCAGUGGAAACAUUGGCGGAAAGGCCGACUCCGGGGAAGUGCGCGCUUCGGCGCAAUCGAACUUGGACUGAUGGGGGCCGAGAAAAGCCCUAAAGCAACGUUCCAUCUAACCGUACUGUAAACCGACACAGGUGGGUGAGUCGAGGAGACUAAGGCGUUCGAGAGAACUCUCGUUAAGGAACUAGGCAAACGAGCCCCGUAACUUUGGAAGAAGGGGCGCCCCGCAAGGGGCCGCAGCGAAGCAGCCCAGGCGACUGUUUACCAAAAACACAGGUCUCUGCUAAGACGAAAGUCGAUGUAUAGGGGCUGACGCCUGCCCAAUGCCAGUCCAUUAAGCGGAGAUGUCAGGAGCAAUCUGAAGCAUUGAAGUGAAGUGCUGGUGAAUGGCGGCCGUAACUCUAACGGUCCUAAGGUAGCGAAAUUCCUUGUCGGCUAAAUACCGACCCGCAUGAAAGGCGUAACGACUUGGGCACUGUCUCAACGAGAAGCUCGGUGAAAUUGUAGCACCCGUGAAGAUGCGGGUUCCGCGCAGUAGGACGGAAAGACCCCGUGGAGCUUUACUACACCUUCAGAUUGUAAGCUGGUUGUAGAUGUAGAGCGUAGGUGGGAGCUUCGGCAUCAAUGGAACACCACCCUUCUACAUCUGGUUUACUAACCCGCACCGUUAUCCGGUGUGGAGACAUUCUGUGGCGGGUAGUUUGACUGGGGCGGUCGCCUCCCAAAAAGUAACGGAGGCGUACAAAGGCACACUCAGCCUGGUCGGAAAUCAGGCGUCGAGCGUAUAGGUAUAUAGUGUGCUUGACUGUGAGACAAACAAGUCGAGCAGGGACGAAAGUCGGUCUAAGUGACCCUCUGGUGGUGCGUGGGCACGCCAGGGUUCAUCGGAUAAAAGCUACCCCGGGGAUAACAGGCUGAUCUUGCCCGAGCGCUCACAGCGACGGCAUGGUUUGGCACCUCGAUGUCGGCUCGUCUCAUCCUGGGGCUGUACACGGUCCCAAGGGUUCCGGAGUUCACGGAUUAAAGAGGCACGCGAGCUGGGUUCAGAACGGCGUGAGCCAGUUCGGUCCCUAUCCACUGCGCGCGUAGGAUAUUUGAGGGGAGUCGCUCUUAGUACGAGAGGACCGGAGUGAACCGACCUCUGGUGUACCAGUUGUGCCGCCAGGCGCAGACGCUGGGUAGCCACGUCGGGCCGUGAUAAGCGCUGAAAGCAUCUAAGCGCCAAGCACACCCCAAGAUUAGAUAUCCCAUUUAGAAGUAAGGCCCCUGGAAGAUCACCAGGUAAUAGGUCGCAUGUGGAAGCGUGGUAACACGUGCAGCUGAGCGAUACUAAUAGGCCGAGGGCUUACAAAU